UGUAAAGAGUUUGUGGAAGCAGCAGAAUGAAAGAUUUCAUGUUGCUGGUUCUAGAAAUUUCUCUAAAUGGAAUUUCUAAAAGGUUGCUUCUCUGGGACGGUCAUGAACACCUUCCAGCUGUAAAGAUGUGGAUCAACACUGGGUGGCUCUCCCCUAGAGUGACAUCAUGCUCCUUCAUACAGAAAAGAGUGAGAAAAGAGACUUCAAUUGUUUUGACAAACACAUUGAAUAUUUCACCUUUUUAAAUCCAAGGUCUCCUGCUGAAGAUGACUUUAUUUCAUCAGCCAGCUUCUGCUUUUUGCCAUUCCCUAGAGAACUUCCAUUAAAGGAAAUCUGUUGAUCAUCACCAGAUACAUUCAUGUGCUUUCCAUCUUCAGGAUAGCUGCUCUGUUCUUCUGUGUGUUGCUGCAUAAUAAGUAUUGCCCCCUCCCCCCUUUUUGUUUUCUUUCCCCCUCCAAAGCUAAUUUUUACUUUAUUGUAAUAACUGAAAGUUCUGGAGAACAUUUGGUUCCUGGUGUUUUGCUGCAUGUUUGACCCAAAGAUAGUUUCUUUACCUCUUCCAGUAAAUACAAAUGUGGUUUUCUGUUGUUAGAGAAACAAUUGCUUUUCUUCUGUUGUCAGAGAAAUAAACUACUGAACUUUAA
This is a long non-coding RNA of Aquila chrysaetos chrysaetos, 644 nucleotides long. RefSeq lists it as uncharacterized. The transcript is spliced from 3 exons. The record is from RefSeq and is a predicted model, not a curated record. Lineage: Eukaryota; Metazoa; Chordata; Aves; Accipitriformes; Accipitridae.